CUCCUGCCUUGGCCUCCCAAAUAGCUGGGACUACAGGCGCCCACCACCAUGCCUGGCUAAUUUUUUGUAUUUUUGGUAGAGACAGGGUUUCACGACGUUGGCCAGGCUGGUCUCAAACUCCUGAUCUCAAGUGAUCCACCUGCCUCUGUGUCCCAAAUUGCUGGGAUUACAGGCAUGAGCCACCGCACCGGCCAUGCUUUCAGUUUUCAAGAAAGAAGACACCAUUAUUGCCAAAGAUUUUGGUAAUUUGAGAGAUACAAUGUAUGUUUUCUCCAUGUGGAUACUAGAUAGUAAGGAUGUGUUGAAUUUGAAGUGUCUAUCCAGAAGUAUUUUGGGUACUUGUUUAAGGAUUGUAAAACAAUGUUUCCAUUUCUGGAUAUAAUAAAUGUAUUUGUUAAUAUAAUAAAUGAAUAGAUUAGACCCAUAAACUAUUUGCAGUGUUGAGUCAUUUCCCACAGUUAAAAUCAGGAUGAAAAUAUAUAGCUGAAUACCUGCUUUGUUUCUUGUAACUGAUUUCUUUAGUACAGAACCUGCUAAGGCCAUCAAACCUAUUGAUCGGAAGUCAGUCCAUCAGAUUUGCUCUGGGCCGGUGGUACUGAGUCUAAGCACUGCGGUGAAGAAGAUAGUAGGAAACAGUCUGGAUGCUGGUGCCACUAAUAUUGAUCUAAAGCUUAAGGACUAUGGAAUGGAUCUCAUUGAAGUUUCAGGCAAUGGAUGUGGGGUAGAAGAAGAAAACUUCGAAGGCUUAAUCUCUUUCAGCUCUGAAACAUCACACAUCUAAGAUUCGAGAGUUUGCCGACCUAACUCGGGUUGAAACUUUUGGCUUUCGGGGGAAAGCUCUGAGCUCACUUUGUGCACUGAGUGAUGUCACCAUUUCUACCUGCCACGUAUCGGCGAAGGUUGGGACUCGACUGGUGUUUGAUCACGAUGGGAAAAUCAUCCAGAAAACCCCCUACCCCCACCCCAGAGGGACCACAGUCAGCGUGAAGCAGUUAUUUUCUACGCUACCUGUGCGCCAUAAGGAAUUUCAAAGGAAUAUUAAGAAGAAACGUGCCUGCUUCCCCUUCGCCUUCUGCCGUGAUUGUCAGUUUCUUGAGGGCUCCCCAGCCAUGCUUCCUGUACAGCCUGCAAAACUGACUCCUAGAAGUACCCCACCCCACCCCUGCUCCUUGGAGGACAACGUGAUCACUGUAUUCAGCUCUGUCAAGAAUGGUCCAGGUUCUUCUAGAUGAUCUGC
RNAcentral lists this long non-coding RNA (1237 nucleotides) under Homo sapiens (human). RNAcentral's name for it is "HSALNT0341497". The record is from RNAcentral. Lineage: Eukaryota; Metazoa; Chordata; Mammalia; Primates; Hominidae.